UGGCGAACGGGUGAGUAACACGUGAGCAACCUGCCUUUCAGUGGGGGACAACAUUUGGAAACGAAUGCUAAUACCGCAUAAGACCACAGUGUCGCAUGGCACAGGGGUCAAAGGAUUUAUCCGCUGAAAGAUGGGCUCGCGUCCGAUUAGCUAGAUGGUGAGGUAACGGCCCACCAUGGCGACGAUCGGUAGCCGGACUGAGAGGUUGAACGGCCACAUUGGGACUGAGACACGGCCCAGACUCCUACGGGAGGCAGCAGUGGGGAAUAUUGCACAAUGGGGGAAACCCUGAUGCAGCGACGCCGCGUGGAGGAAGAAGGUCUUCGGAUUGUAAACUCCUGUCCCAGGGGACGAUAAUGACGGUACCCUGGGAGGAAGCACCGGCUAACUACGUGCC
Molecule: ribosomal RNA, 397 nt
Filed under: uncultured bacterium
Lineage: Bacteria
Description: bacterial SSU rRNA
Rfam family: Bacterial small subunit ribosomal RNA
Source: RNAcentral